Long non-coding RNA from Bos taurus (domestic cattle), 2093 nucleotides. The record is from Ensembl. Lineage: Eukaryota; Metazoa; Chordata; Mammalia; Artiodactyla; Bovidae.
UCCCAAUUCUGCCCAUUAAGUACAGUUUGAUGAAUGGCUUUAUAUCUCCAGGCUCAGUUUCCCCCAGAAAAACAAAGAGACUGGACUAGCUGUCUCAGAGAAUCUUACAAGCUCUAACAGUUUCAGAACUCACUGUUACAAAACUCUCCAAAGUGGAGGUAUCAUUUACAGUUGGUGUGACCUAAGAUAAUAAAUAAUACCUUCCAACAGGAGAAGUACACUUUUGGACAGUCCCUCUUUUCUUCAUCUUUGCACAAAUACUUUUGAGUACUCGUAUGUGCCAGGGAGCCCAUUAGAUGUUGGGGAUAUAGCAAAAGAAAGGCAGGUAUGGAGCUUACCCUCAAGGAAUUAAAGACUGUUGGAGCCAAACAUUAAACCAACCAUUCAAAAUGUGAUAGACAAAGUGUGGUGUUUGGGGCACACAAUAGGAGACCUAACUUCAUCCAGAAUUGGCGAUGGCUUUCAAGAAGAAGUGGUGUUUAAACUGAGACCUAAAGGAUUUGAAAACCUUAGCAGGUUUCUUUUAAAAAGAAGGUCAAUCACUUGUGUUCCAGGAUAUUCCAGGCAUAGAAAGGAAUCUCCAUGAAGGCCAAAGGUUGGCAUAUCAAAAUUUUUGCUACAAUAGAGUAAGUGCCCAGCCUAUAGUUGGCCCUCGGAUUUUCUGAUUGAAUGAGUGACUUCAUGAAUAUAUAUUAAUUACUUAAUUAAAAUGUAAUCUUAAUUACAGUGCCAGGCAAUGAAUGCUUUUAAAAUCCUACAACCCAAUGCUGGGAACACUUCAGUUUUUCAAUAAAUUUCAUUUAACAAAUAGAUAUUGGUGUCUAUAAAAGCUAGUGGAGGGAGGAGGCAGAGCUUGAAACUGAUACUCACUGAACACUUCCUAUAUUCCUAGCAUUGUUCUAAUUUCUAAUAUGAUAACUCAUUAAGUUCUAAUAAUCAACAUCUAUAAAAUACCCAGGCACAGGGAAGCUCAGUAACUUCCCAAUGUUCACAAAGUUAUGAAAUGCUAAAGCUAGGAUUUAAAUGCUGGCAGUAUGCUCUUGGCUAUGACAUCAUGCUGAUCAUGUUGGAAAAGAAGACAAGUGAGAUCUCAUUCUUCAGCUCAGAAGAAUACCACAUCCUCAGAUAUUUUGACUCUAAAGACCACCUGGACCAGAUGCAUUGAGCCAGACGGUAAAGAAAAAUAUCAGCUAACAUUUUAAAAAUGUGCUUAUGUACCGGAUAUUAAGGAAAGGAAAUGGUUAGUUUGCAUAGUCUCACUUCAUUCCCAAAUUAACCCUAGAUAUAGGGGUUAUUAUUGUAAAUCCCACUGAAAUUGAGGUUCAGAGAGGGUGAGUAACUUGCCCACGCUCGCCCAGCAGAAGGGACAAGAUCUAACUAGUCCACGUGAGUAUAAGAGUCUAGCCACUCAACCGUUGUUAACGCUAAAGCCAGUGUAGACACAACCCUAAAUGGGACACCAUUGGAAACACGGCAGUGUGGCUCAGCGUUUCAUAUAUUUUUAAGGACUGAUGCUCACAGGAGAUCUUUGGCUGGGUCCAGACACAGCCUGGAGCCACGAAGGUGUCUGCCUUCACUGAUAAGUUCCUCCCAGCUCUUGUACAGACAGCCAAAUGCCUCACACCCUCCCCUGGCUCCUGGAGGAAUCACUUUCACACUCGAGGGAGGUGGAGAUGGUUCUUAUCUUGACACUUCAAAGAAAACCUUCCCCCUUGACAUCUUCCUGCCCUAAACAGUGCUGAUGUGGAAGCCGGGUGAUGAAGGGUUUGCCUCGUUCCUUUGAUCCUGGGGCAAGUUGGGUGACUCCUGCUCUUCCAGGCCUGAGGAAUGCUGGGCCCCACUGACUUUGCUUUUUGUUUCCUCUAAUAUUUACAGCUUCCAGUGGCUCCUGUGCUUAUUCAGUUUUGGACCAGAUCUCAAAAACGAAGAGAAGUAUGUAUCCAGUGGUAGAGUAUGGACUGGUUUCACCAGUGGGAGAGUUCGGAUGUUGCUCGAUGCUUCUUAAUACUCACGUUCCCAUCCAUUCUGCUUCUGCUCUAGCCAAUGGUUUGUAAUUUGGGUAUCAUGCAUCCCCAUGGUAAUCUAUUGAGAGC